Molecule: long non-coding RNA, 283 nt
Organism: Calidris pugnax (ruff)
Lineage: Eukaryota; Metazoa; Chordata; Aves; Charadriiformes; Scolopacidae
Exons: 3
Source: RefSeq, a predicted model, not a curated record
CAGAGAAAGCCAGCAUUUCUUUCUCAAAUGAAAGCCUGAAUUCCCCAGAACAGCCUCUGCUGCAUCAACACGAGCAACAUUUGGAGGAAGCAAACUGUGAUGCUCAGCAAAACCCACCCGAUUCCCCAGGAUGUAAGGACUUCAUUCUUAACAUUGAGCUGGAAAAAGCUGAAAAUGGAAGCCUGGGAUUUGCCCUGGUGGGUGGAAGGAACGGCAGGGCUAUCCUAAUAAAAGCCAUCAGCCCCGACAGCAUCGCAGAUCUAGAUGGGAGGCUCCAAGUUGG